RNAcentral lists this transfer RNA (80 nucleotides) under Histiona aroides. RNAcentral's name for it is "tRNA-Leu". It matches the Rfam family "tRNA". Rfam says of the family: Transfer RNA (tRNA) molecules are approximately 80 nucleotides in length. Their secondary structure includes four short double-helical elements and three loops (D, anti-codon, and T loops). The record is from RNAcentral. Lineage: Eukaryota; Jakobea; Jakobida; Histionidae.
GUGGGCGUGGUGAAAUUGGUAGACACGCUAGUCUUAGGUGCUAGUGAUUACUCGUGCGGGUUCAAGUCCCGCCGCCCAUA